UACAUGGGGUGCAAACGUUGCUCGGAAUUAUUGGGCGUAAAGCGCGCGUAGGCGGUUACUCAAGUCGGAUGUGAAAGCCCUCGGCUUAACUGAGGAAGUGCACCCGAAACUGAGUAGCUAGAGUACUAAAGAGGGUCGCGGAAUUCCCGGUGUAGAGGUGAAAUUCGUAGAUAUCGGGAGGAACACCGGUGGCGAAGGCGGCGACCUGGGUAGAUACUGACGCUGAGACGCGAAAGCGUGGGGAGCGAACAGG
This 253-nucleotide ribosomal RNA is filed under the name uncultured bacterium. Its description in RNAcentral is "partial 16S ribosomal RNA". It matches the Rfam family "Bacterial small subunit ribosomal RNA", at positions 524 to 776 of the family's 1533-position model. The record is from RNAcentral.